RNAcentral lists this ribosomal RNA (505 nucleotides) under uncultured fungus. RNAcentral describes it as "SSU rRNA". It matches the Rfam family "Eukaryotic small subunit ribosomal RNA", at positions 569 to 1078 of the family's 1831-position model. The record is from RNAcentral. Lineage: Eukaryota; Fungi.
AGCAGCCGCGGUAAUUCCAGCUCCAAUAGCGUAUAUUAAAGUUGUUGCAGUUAAAAAGCUCGUAGUUGAAUUUCGGGAUUAGUACGUUGGUCGUGCCUUCGGUACGUACUGGUGUUACUGAUUCCUACCUUCUGACGAUCCAUCAUGUCAUUAAUUUGGUGUGGCGGGGAAUCAGGACUGUUACUUUGAAAAAAUUAGAGUGUUUAAAGCAGGCUCGCGCUUGAAUACAUUAGCAUGGAAUAAUGAAAUAGGACGUUGACCCUAUUUUGUUGGUUUCUAGGAUUGACGUAAUGAUUAAUAGGGAUAGUUGGGGGCAUUAGUAUUCAAUUGUCAGAGGUGAAAUUCUUGGAUUUAUUGAAGACUAACUACUGCGAAAGCAUUUGCCAAGGAUGUUUUCAUUAAUCAAGAACGAAAGUUAGGGGAUCGAAGACGAUCAGAUACCGUCGUAGUCUUAACCAUAAACUAUGCCGACUAGGGAUCGGAUGAUGUUAUUUUUAAUGACUCA